GAUGAACGCUGGCGGCGUGCCUAAUACAUGCAAGUCGAGCGAACAGACGAGGAGCUUGCUCCUCUGACGUUAGCGGCGGACGGGUGAGUAACACGUGGAUAACCUACCUAUAAGACUGGGAUAACUUCGGGAAACCGGAGCUAAUACCGGAUAAUAUAUUGAACCGCAUGGUUCAAUAGUGAAAUACGGUUUUGCUGUCACUUAUAGAUGGAUCCGCGCCGCAUUAGCUAGUUGGUAAGGUAACGGCUUACCAAGGCAACGAUGCGUAGCCGACCUGAGAGGGUGGUCGGCCACACUGGAACUGAGACACGGUCCAGACUCCUACGGGAGGCAGCAGUAGGGAAUCUUCCGCAAUGGGCGAAAGCCUGACGGAGCAACGCCGCGUGAGUGAUAAAGGUCUUCGGAUCGUAAAACUCUGUUAUUAGGGAAGAACAAAUGUGUAAGUAACUAUGCACGUCUUGACGGUAACUAAUCAGAAAGCCACGGCUAACUACGUG
Molecule: ribosomal RNA, 497 nt
Filed under: uncultured bacterium
Lineage: Bacteria
Description: partial 16S ribosomal RNA
Rfam family: Bacterial small subunit ribosomal RNA
Source: RNAcentral